UACGUAGGGCGCAAGCGUUGUCCGGAAUUAUUGGGCGUAAAGAGCUCGUAGGCGGUUUGUCACGUCGGCUGUGAAAUCCCGAGGCUCAACCUCGGGCUUGCAGUCGAUACGGGCAGACUAGAGUGGAGCAGGGGAGACUGGAAUUCCUGGUGUAGCGGUGAAAUGCGCAGAUAUCAGGAGGAACACCGAUGGCGAAGGCAGGUCUCUGGGCUUUAACUGACGCUGAGGAGCGAAAGCGUGGGUAGCGAACAGG
Molecule: ribosomal RNA, 253 nt
Filed under: uncultured bacterium
Lineage: Bacteria
Description: partial 16S ribosomal RNA
Rfam family: Bacterial small subunit ribosomal RNA
Source: RNAcentral